GUGGAUUAGAUACCCUGGUAGUCCACGCCCUAAACGAUGUCGACUGGGUGUUGGGGAAGCGAUUUCCCAGUACCGUAGCUAACGCGUGAAGUCGACCGCCUGGGGAGUACGGCCGCAAGGUUAAAACUCAAAGGAAUUGACGGGGACCCGCACAAGCGGUGGAUGAUGUGGAUUAAUUCGAUGCAACGCGAACAACCUUACCUACCCUUGACAUGUCCGGAAGCCCGGUGAGAGCUGGGGGUGCCCGAAAGGGAACCGGAACACAGGUGCUGCAUGGUCGUCGACAACU
RNAcentral lists this ribosomal RNA (289 nucleotides) under uncultured bacterium. RNAcentral describes it as "partial 16S ribosomal RNA". It matches the Rfam family "Bacterial small subunit ribosomal RNA", at positions 773 to 1060 of the family's 1533-position model. The record is from RNAcentral.